Molecule: long non-coding RNA, 203 nt
Organism: Melospiza georgiana
Lineage: Eukaryota; Metazoa; Chordata; Aves; Passeriformes; Passerellidae
Exons: 3
Source: RefSeq, a predicted model, not a curated record
GGGUGCUCAGAAAGCAUGCGUCCCUUAGAGUCCCACGAAAAGGUUCUCAGUGCGCUCUCUAUCAAGUGCUAUGAGUCUUGAUAAAUUGGAGAAGAGCCCAAGAGAAAUUUUUCAUCCCUUGAUAUAAAAGGAUUUAUUGGUUCUGGAAGAACAAGAGGGAAGUACAAGCCUAACUUCUUCUAGCUCACAGACCCGUCCGGUGA